Molecule: transfer RNA, 73 nt
Filed under: archaeon GW2011_AR15
Lineage: Archaea
Also listed under: 1 other name
Description: tRNA-Pro
Rfam family: tRNA
About the family: Transfer RNA (tRNA) molecules are approximately 80 nucleotides in length.
Source: RNAcentral
GGGGCUAUGGUGUAGCUUGGUAUCACACAAGGCUGGGGGUCUUGUAACCGCAGUUCGAAUCUGCGUAGCCCCA